UUUAAUGGUAGAAAUCUCUCAAACUAACAUUCAUCAUGCAAUAACUCCAUUAGAACCCUUACUUCAGCUUUCUUUCAGGUUAGGAAGUGAAAAGGAAUGCUUUUAUAGGUUAAAACGUCGAGUAAGCCAACAUACCGUAUUUUUGAGCCGACCCAGUUCGCGAUCCGGAUUCUUCCCAGGUAGUCCGCAGUAAAACCCUCAUAACUUUUUACUCCAAUAUCAGUUGGAUACGGGGUUUUGUGCUUUGCAAACUAGACUCGUAGGCCUUCGAUUUGAUAUGUGAUGAGCUUUGUAACUCUUUAUAUAUUGAGAGAAAACAUCCAAGACAUUUGACCCAAAGUUAAGAAAAUUUUAUUAGAGAAACUUCGAUAACUUUUGCCAACCUUAGUUUCGCUAAUUUUCUUGACUUCAAAACUUAACAUACGACCAUUGUGCUAGCAUAAUACCUCGUAACACAUUAUUCUUAGCAUGUUAAACACUCAUAGGAUUAUCCCUAAGGUAUGGGAUAAUUUUAAAUCAUUCAAACGGGUGAAGUGCUAUCCGAGCCAUUUCUUUAAUCCCGAACUUUGUUUGACCUAAACUUAGUUUAGUUCCGUGAUAUUGCCACCCUUUUUCAAUUUUAAUAUCCAAUGUACUAUACCAAGUAAUAUACAACUCAUAUAACCACGCCACAUAUAUCAUGCAGGAAUAGAGAAAAAAAAAGUAUGGGAUCUUACAUAAAAUCACUCCACUUGCAGCAAAAGAUAGUUCUAUGGUUCCAAACCACUUUAUGAUAAUAAGAUGAAUCAUAUACACUCAUCACCUUUUGAAUGAAUUGGCUCAGUACAUUGUGAUUGUAAAGAUUACAAGAUUUGAUUGAACAUUGCAAAUAGCCUUGUACAUCAAUUCUCAUGAUUUUUAAUCUUUUUUCUAGCAAUACAAUGCAUGUUCCAAUAUGAUAAUUUUCUAAGAGAAAGCAUAACCCCAUCUUUUAAGCACUCUUCCAUAUCUGUAUAAUUUAGACUUACACAAGCACUAGAUCAAAUGACAGAAAUUCGAUGAUGUAUUGGAUUCCACAAAUCUCUACAGUCAUAACCAAGAUUCAGCUCAUCUGUAAUAAGGUCAGAUAAACCAAUGUUUUCUUC
This 1124-nucleotide long non-coding RNA is filed under the name Solanum tuberosum (potato). Its description in RNAcentral is "long non-coding RNA (STUB_LNC004278)". Lineage: Eukaryota; Viridiplantae; Streptophyta; Magnoliopsida; Solanales; Solanaceae. The record is from RNAcentral.